The sequence is a transfer RNA, 88 nucleotides long. It matches the Rfam family "tRNA". From Rfam's summary of the family: Transfer RNA (tRNA) molecules are approximately 80 nucleotides in length. Their secondary structure includes four short double-helical elements and three loops (D, anti-codon, and T loops). The record is from Rfam.
UCCGAUGUCGUCUAGUGGUUAGGAUCCUGCGCUUUCAAUCUCAUCCUUGAGAGCCGCAGUGGCCGGGGUUCAAUUCCCCGCAUCGGAG